GGACGAACGCUGGCGGCGUGCCUAACACAUGCAAGUCGAACGGGGAUUUGUUUCGGCAGAAUCCUAGUGGCGAACGGGUGAGUAACGCGUAGGCAACCUGCCCUCCGGCCGGGGACAACACUCCGAAAGGGGUGCUAAUACCGGAUACGAAGUCUGUGCCGCAUGGUACGGAUUUGAAAGAUGGCCUCUAUUUAUAAGCUAUCGCCGGGGGAUGGGCCUGCGUCCGAUUAGCUGGUUGGUGGGUAACGGCCUACCAAGGCGACGAUCGGUAGCCGGUCUGAGAGGAUGAACGGCCACAUUGGGACUGAGACACGGCCCAGACUCCUACGGGAGGCAGCAGUGGGGAAUCUUCCGCAAUGGGCGCAAGCCUGACGGAGCAACGCCGCCGUGAGUGAGGAAGUUCUUCGGAACGUAAAGCUCUGUUGUUCCCGACGAACCUCCCUUCUAUGAACAACGGAGGGGACUGACGGUAGGGAACGAGGAAGCCACGGCUAACUACGUGCCAGCCGCCGC
RNAcentral lists this ribosomal RNA (513 nucleotides) under uncultured bacterium. Its description in RNAcentral is "bacterial SSU rRNA". It matches the Rfam family "Bacterial small subunit ribosomal RNA", at positions 27 to 518 of the family's 1533-position model. The record is from RNAcentral.